Molecule: ribosomal RNA, 1229 nt
Filed under: Staphylococcus aureus
Lineage: Bacteria; Bacillati; Bacillota; Bacilli; Caryophanales; Staphylococcaceae
Description: partial 23S ribosomal RNA
Rfam family: Bacterial large subunit ribosomal RNA
Source: RNAcentral
GGGGGGACGCAGUAGGAUAGGCGAAGCGUGCGAUUGGAUUGCACGUCUAAGCAGUAAGGCUGAGUAUUAGGCAAAUCCGGUACUCGUUAAGGCUGAGCUGUGAUGGGGAGAAGACAUUGUGUCUUCGAGUCGUUGAUUUCACACUGCCGAGAAAAGCCUCUAGAUAGAAAAUAGGUGCCCGUACCGCAAACCGACACAGGUAGUCAAGAUGAGAAUUCUAAGGUGAGCGAGCGAACUCUCGUUAAGGAACUCGGCAAAAUGACCCCGUAACUUCGGGAGAAGGGGUGCUCUUUAGGGUUAACGCCCAGNNAUUUGGGCACUGUCUCAACGAGAGACUCGGUGAAAUCAUAGUACCUGUGAAGAUGCAGGUUACCCGCGACAGGACGGAAAGACCCCGUGGAGCUUUACUGUAGCCUGAUAUUGAAAUUCGGCACAGCUUGUACAGGAUAGGUAGGAGCCUUUGAAACGUGAGCGCUAGCUUACGUGGAGGCGCUGGUGGGAUACUACCCUAGCUGUGUUGGCUUUCUAACCCGCACCACUUAUCGUGGUGGGAGACAGUGUCAGGCGGGCAGUUUGACUGGGGCGGUCGCCUCCUAAAAGGUAACGGAGGCGCUCAAAGGUUCCCUCAGAAUGGUUGGAAAUCAUUCAUAGAGUGUAAAGGCAUAAGGGAGCUUGACUGCGAGACCUACAAGUCGAGCAGGGUCGAAAGACGGACUUAGUGAUCCGGUGGUUCCGCAUGGAAGGGCCAUCGCUCAACGGAUAAAAGCUACCCCGGGGAUAACAGGCUUAUCUCCCCCAAGAGUUCACAUCGACGGGGAGGUUUGGCACCUCGAUGUCGGCUCAUCGCAUCCUGGGGCUGUAGUCGGUCCCAAGGGUUGGGCUGUUCGCCCAUUAAAGCGGUACGCGAGCUGGGUUCAGAACGUCGUGAGACAGUUCGGUCCCUAUCCGUCGUGGGCGUAGGAAAUUUGAGAGGAGCUGUCCUUAGUACGAGAGGACCGGGAUGGACAUACCUCUGGUGUACCAGUUGUCGUGCCAACGGCAUAGCUGGGUAGCUAUGUGUGGAAGGGAUAAGUGCUGAAAGCAUCUAAGCAUGAAGCCCCCCUCAAGAUGAGAUUUCCCAACUUCGGUUAUAAGAUCCCUCAAAGAUGAUGAGGUUAAUAGGUUCGAGGUGGAAGCAUGGUGACAUGUGGAGCUGACGAAUACUAAUCGAUCGAAGACUUAAUCAAAUU